GAGUUUGAUCCUGGCUCAGGAUGAACGCUGGCGGCGUGCCUAAUACAUGCAAGUCGAGCGAACAGAUAAGGAGCUUGCUCCUUUGAAGUUAGCGGCGGACGGGUGAGUAACACGUGGGUAACCUACCUAUAAGACUGGGAUAACUUCGGGAAACCGGAGCUAAUACCGGAUAACAUUUAGAACCGCAUGGUUCUAAAGUGAAAGAUGGUUUUGCUAUCACUUAUAGAUGGACCCGCGCCGUAUUAGCUAGUUGGUAAGGUAACGGCUUACCAAGGCGACGAUACGUAGCCGACCUGAGAGGGUGAUCGGCCACACUGGAACUGAGACACGGUCCAGACUCCUACGGGAGGCAGCAGUAGGGAAUCUUCCGCAAUGGGCGAAAGCCUGACGGAGCAACGCCGCGUGAGUGAUGAAGGGUUUCGGCUCGUAAAACUCUGUUAUUAGGGAAGAACAAAUGUGUAAGUAACUGUGCACAUCUUGACGGUACCUAAUCAGAAAGCCACGGCUAACUACGUGCCAGCAGCCGCGGUAAUACGUAGGU
RNAcentral lists this ribosomal RNA (541 nucleotides) under uncultured bacterium. RNAcentral describes it as "bacterial SSU rRNA". It matches the Rfam family "Bacterial small subunit ribosomal RNA", at positions 9 to 532 of the family's 1533-position model. The record is from RNAcentral.